ACUGAACAUUGAGCCUUGAUGUGUAGGAUAGGUGGGAGGCUUUGAAGCGUGGACGCCAGUCUGCGUGGAGCCAACCUUGAAAUACCACCCUUUAAUGUUUGAUGUUCUAACGUUGGCCCCUGACCGGGGUUGCGGACAGUGUCUGGUGGGUAGUUUGACUGGGGCGGUCUCCUCCCAAAGCGUAACGGAGGAGCACGAAGGUUAGCUAAUCCUGGUCGGACAUCAGGAGGUUAGUGCAAUGGCAUAAGCUAGCUUGACUGCGAGCGUGACGGCGCGAGCAGGUGCGAAAGCAGGUCAUAGUGAUCCGGUGGUUCUGAAUGGAAGGGCCAUCGCUCAACGGAUAAAAGGUACUCCGGGGAUAACAGGCUGAUACCGCCCA
RNAcentral lists this ribosomal RNA (379 nucleotides) under Pseudomonas aeruginosa. Its description in RNAcentral is "partial 23S ribosomal RNA". It matches the Rfam family "Bacterial large subunit ribosomal RNA", at positions 2116 to 2494 of the family's 2925-position model. The record is from RNAcentral. Lineage: Bacteria; Pseudomonadati; Pseudomonadota; Gammaproteobacteria; Pseudomonadales; Pseudomonadaceae.